CCCAAUUCGGCCUUUUGGCUAAGAUCAAGUGUAGUAUCUGUUCUUAUUCAAAUACAUUUCUUGCAAACAGCAGGAGGUUGGAUUCAGUUUUUUAAAAUUCAUUUUGCUACCCUGUGUCUCUUAAUUGACUAGUUUCAAUCACUGACAUUGAGAGAGACUAUUGUCAUGGAUUUUAUGCCAUCUCUCUAUAAAA
This is a small nuclear RNA of Sorex fumeus (smoky shrew), 193 nucleotides long. RefSeq annotates it as U2 spliceosomal RNA. The record is from RefSeq and is a predicted model, not a curated record. The transcript has a single exon. NCBI's taxonomy places the organism in Eukaryota, Metazoa, Chordata, Mammalia, Eulipotyphla, Soricidae.